RNAcentral lists this transfer RNA (76 nucleotides) under Chloroflexota bacterium. RNAcentral describes it as "Chloroflexi bacterium tRNA-Thr". It matches the Rfam family "tRNA". From Rfam's summary of the family: Transfer RNA (tRNA) molecules are approximately 80 nucleotides in length. Lineage: Bacteria; Bacillati; Chloroflexota. RNAcentral also lists the same sequence under 5 other names. The record is from RNAcentral.
GCCUACGUAGCUCAGGCGGCAGAGCACUUCCUUGGUAAGGAAGAGGUCCCGAGUUCGAAUCUCGGCGUAGGCUCCA